UGAUUAAGUAUUCAGUGUUUUUAUUGCC
RNAcentral lists this small RNA (28 nucleotides) under Bombyx mori (domestic silkworm). Its description in RNAcentral is "ovarian small RNA-32980". The record is from RNAcentral. Lineage: Eukaryota; Metazoa; Arthropoda; Insecta; Lepidoptera; Bombycidae.